GUGGGGAAUAUUGCGCAAUGGGGGAAACCCUGACGCAGCGACGCCGCGUGAGCGAAGAAGGCCUUAGGGUUGUAAAGCUCUGUUUUAAGGGACGAAUGUCGUGGGGAGUAAUAUGCUCUGCGAAUGACGGUACCUUAAGAGGAAGCCCCGGCUAACUACGUGCCAGCAGCCGCGGUAAGACGUAGGGGGCGAGCGUUGUCCGGAAUUACUGGGCGUAAAGAGCACGUAGGCGGGAACUUAAGUCAGGUGUGAAAGACCGGGGCUCAACUCCGGGGUUGCACUUGAAACUGGGUUUCUUGAGGGCAGGAGAGGAAAGCAGAAUUCCUGGUGUAGCGGUGAAAUGCGUAGAAAUCAGGAGGAAUACCAGUGGCGAAGGCGGCUUUCUGGACUGACCCUGACGCUGAGGUGCGAAAGCGUGGGUAGCAAACAGGAUUAGAAACCCGUGUAGUCC
RNAcentral lists this ribosomal RNA (451 nucleotides) under uncultured bacterium. RNAcentral describes it as "partial 16S ribosomal RNA". It matches the Rfam family "Bacterial small subunit ribosomal RNA", at positions 354 to 796 of the family's 1533-position model. The record is from RNAcentral.